GAACCGUUUUACAAUUUUUAGGAUUAAAUGGGGAGAAAUGGCAACCCUUGUUUGUAAUUUGCCAUCGGUGUUCCCAACUUCAUCUAUCAGUCAGUCCCGACUCCGAGCUUCAACUUCUUCGAAUUCGAGGGUUCUCCUUCACCAGUCCCCUAUCCUUGCUCGGCACGCCCAGGUCGUCCGAAGCCGCAAGAAUAUGGCUCAUGAAGGCCAAACUCCCCCAGUGAUUCCACAACAGAAAGUUAUAAUACAGAAUAGCCAUGGUGAAAAACUUGUUGGAGUAUUGCACAAUACAGGUUCUACGGAGCUUGUAAUCUUGUGCCAUGGAUUUCGAUCCUCCAAGGAAUAUGAUACUUUGAUGAAUCUUGCUGCUGCUUUAGAGAAAGAAGGAAUCAGUGUCUUCCGUUUUGACUUUGCAGGGAAUGGGGAAAGUGAAGGUUCAUUUCAAUAUGGUAACUAUCGCAGAGAAGCUGAAGAUUUGCAUGCUGUAGUUCUACAUUUUAGUGGGGUUAAACAUCAAAUCAGUGCAAUUCUUGGCCAUAGUAAAGGAGGAAAUGCGGUGCUCCUCUAUGCUUCUAGGUACCCUGAUGUCCAUACAGUUGUCAAUGUUUCGGGGCGGUUUAAUCUGGAAAGAGGUAUUGCGGGUCGCCUGGGUAAAAGUUUUAUGGAGAGGAUCAAGAAAGAUGGAUUCAUCGAUGUUAAGGAUGACACAGGAAAAGUUGAGUACCGUGUGACAGAAGAAAGUAUAAUGGACCGCCUGACCACUGAUAUGCGUGCAGCAUGCCUUUCAAUUCAAAGAGAUUGCCGGGUCUUGACUGUUCAUGGUUCUAAGGAUGAAAUUGUGCCAGCAGAAGAUGCUAUGGAGUUUGCCAAGGUCAUACCCAACCACAAGCUGCACAUUAUAGAAGGAGCUGAUCAUGGAUACACUGCACAUCAAGCUGAGUUAACUGCAAUUGUGCUAGAGUUCAUGAGGGCAGGGAUACAGCAAGAGAAGGAUAUGCCUAACCAGGUAUCAUCAUCCCCGAGAGCAGACAAUGAUAUCCAUCCACGAUUCUGAUGUGGCGUCAGUGUUAAUAAAAUUAAGAACCCAUCGGCAAAUCAAAGUGAAAAUGGGUGGAAGAUCCCUAUGCACCAAGAGACACUUGAGACUUCCCGUGGACU
This is an RNA transcript of Telopea speciosissima, 1158 nucleotides long. RefSeq lists it as uncharacterized. The record is from RefSeq and is a predicted model, not a curated record. Lineage: Eukaryota; Viridiplantae; Streptophyta; Magnoliopsida; Proteales; Proteaceae. The transcript is spliced from 8 exons.